AUACAUGAGCAAAAUCUCAACUUUAUUAGAAGAGACGCAUUUAUUAGAUAAAAAGCCAAUGCAUGCUUUUACAGUAUGGAAAUUGGUGAUUUAUAAUAACUUGGCAAAUCGCAAAGUGAAAACAGGCGAUAAAUCAUUCAAGUUUCUGACCUAUCAGCUUUCGACGGUAUGGUAUUGGCUUACCGUGGCAGUGACGGUUAACGGGGGAUUAGGGUUCGAUUCCGGAGAGGGAGCCUGAGAAACGGCUACCACAUCUAAGGAAGGCAGCAGGCGCGCAAAUUACCCAAUUCUAACAGUUUGAGAGAGGUAGUAACAAGAAAUAACAAUACAAGGCAAUUAAAAUGCUUUGUAAUUGGAAUGAUAGAAAUUUAAACCCUUUUUAAAGUAUCAAUUGGAGGGCAAGUCUGGUGCCAGCAGCCGCGGUAAUUCCAGCUCCAAUAGCGUAUAUUAAAAUUGUUGCAGUUAAAAAGCUCGUAGUUGAAGUUCUGCUAAAAGUAACCGGUCUGCUUUUAAUAAAAGUGGUAUCUUGGUGUGUAUUUAGCAAUGAUGUCCUUUGAAGUGUUUUUUACUUUAUUGUAAUAAAGCAUAUUCAGGACUUUUACUUUGAGAAAAUUAGAGUGUUUCUAGCAGGCCGACGCUUUGAAUACUGCAGCAUGGAAU
RNAcentral lists this ribosomal RNA (660 nucleotides) under Hepatozoon canis. RNAcentral's name for it is "SSU rRNA". It matches the Rfam family "Eukaryotic small subunit ribosomal RNA", at positions 167 to 815 of the family's 1831-position model. Lineage: Eukaryota; Apicomplexa; Hepatozoidae. The record is from RNAcentral.